GCUUGUCUCAAAGAUUAAGCCAUGCAUGUGUAAGAACAGCGACUCUCGUGAAUCUGCGAACGGCUCCGUAUAUCUGUUGUCACCCGCCAUCAUCCGCCCGGGGAUGCCAAUACCCCCGGCAACGGAUAACCUCGGUAAUUCUGUGGCUAAUACGUGUACGAAAGGGGACCCCCGGGCAACUGGGGGCCUCCGGCCUUGCCGCUAAUAAAUGCGCCGGGUUAACUCCCGAUACGCAUGAUGCAGGCAAGUGUCCCUGCCGAUCCUUUAUGGGUCGGAGUGCAUGACGGGCUUCAGACCUAUCAACUAGACGGCCGGGGAUAGCCCGGCCGUGGUGACGACGGGUACAGAGGAUCAGGGUUCGAUCCUGGAGAGGUAGCCUGAGAGAUCGCUACUACUUCUAAGGAAGGCAGCAGG
This 414-nucleotide ribosomal RNA is filed under the name Perichaena depressa. Its description in RNAcentral is "partial small subunit ribosomal RNA". It matches the Rfam family "Eukaryotic small subunit ribosomal RNA", at positions 30 to 432 of the family's 1831-position model. Lineage: Eukaryota; Evosea; Eumycetozoa; Trichiida; Trichiidae. The record is from RNAcentral.